This is a small nuclear RNA of Papio anubis (olive baboon), 164 nucleotides long. Its record names the gene U1. It matches the Rfam family "U1 spliceosomal RNA". From Rfam's summary of the family: U1 is a small nuclear RNA (snRNA) component of the spliceosome (involved in pre-mRNA splicing). The record is from Ensembl. NCBI's taxonomy places the organism in Eukaryota, Metazoa, Chordata, Mammalia, Primates, Cercopithecidae.
AUACUUACCUGGCAGGGGAGAUACCAUGAUCACGAAGGUGGUUUUCCCAGGGCGAGGCUUAUCCAUUGCACUCCGGAUGUGCUGACCCCUGCGAUUUCCCCAAAUGUGGGAAACUCGACUGCAUAGUUUGUGGUAGUGAGGGACUGCGUUCGCGCUUUCCCCUG